ACGAACGCUGGCGGCAUGCCUAACACCUGCAAGUCGCACGAGACCUUCGGGUCUAGUGGCGCACGGGUGCGUAACGCGUGGGAACCUGCCCUUAGGUUCGGAAUAACUCCCCGAAAGGGGUGCUAAUACCGGAUAAUGUCUUCGGACCAAAGAUUUAUCGCCUUUGGAUGGGCCCGCGUUGGAUUAGCUAGUUGGUAGGGUAAAAGCCUACCAAGGCGACGAUCCAUAGCUGGUCUGAGAGGAUGAUCAGCCACACUGGGACUGAGACACGGCCCAGACUCCUACGGGAGGCAGCAGUGGGGAAUAUUGGACAAUGGGCGAAAGCCUGAUCCAGCAAUGCCGCGUGAGUGAUGAAGGCCUUAGGGUUGUAAAGCUCUUUUACCCGGGAUGAUAAUGACAGUACCGGGAGAAUAAGCUCCGGCUAACUCCGUG
RNAcentral lists this ribosomal RNA (432 nucleotides) under uncultured bacterium. RNAcentral describes it as "partial 16S ribosomal RNA". It matches the Rfam family "Bacterial small subunit ribosomal RNA", at positions 29 to 507 of the family's 1533-position model. The record is from RNAcentral.